GAUGAACGCUGGCGGUGUGCCUAACACAUGCAAGUCGAACGGCAACACGAGGAGAUUUUUCUCUUACCGUUAGCGAGGGGCGGGCGGGUGAGGCAUGCAUCGGAUUCUUCUUUUUCUUGGGUGAUAACGUGGGACAGCUGCCGCUACUAGCUCAUAUGAUCUACCGGUUGGUUCAGUGGUUCUUGGCGCUUUUGCCGUUUCAAUUAGCCGAUGUCGGAUUAGCUAGUUGGCUGGGUAAGGGCCCACCAAGGCGACGAUGCGUAGCUGGUCUGAGAGGAUGAUCAGCCACACUGGAACUGAGACACGGUCCAGACUCCUACGGGAGGCAGCAGUGGGGAAUCUUGGACAAUGGGCGCAAGCCUGAUCCAGCAACACCGCGUGAGUGAAGAAGGUCUUCGGGUUGUAAAGCUCUUUUAUUGGGAAAGAAAAGAAGCAGAUUAAUCCCCCGCUGUUUUGACGGUACCCAAACAAAAAGCAACGGCUAACUUCGUG
This 492-nucleotide ribosomal RNA is filed under the name uncultured bacterium. RNAcentral's name for it is "partial 16S ribosomal RNA". It matches the Rfam family "Bacterial small subunit ribosomal RNA", at positions 28 to 507 of the family's 1533-position model. The record is from RNAcentral.